RNAcentral lists this ribosomal RNA (235 nucleotides) under uncultured Actinomycetales bacterium. RNAcentral's name for it is "partial 16S ribosomal RNA". It matches the Rfam family "Bacterial small subunit ribosomal RNA", at positions 96 to 334 of the family's 1533-position model. The record is from RNAcentral. Lineage: Bacteria; Bacillati; Actinomycetota; Actinomycetes; Actinomycetales.
UGGCGAACGGGUGAGUAACACGUGGGUGAUCUGCCCUGCACUUCGGGAUAAGCCUGGGAAACUGGGUCUAAUACCGGAUAGGAGCCAUCUUUAGUGUGAUGGUUGGAAAGUUUUUUCGGUGUAGGAUGAGCUCGCGGCCUAUCAGCUUGUUGGUGGGGUAAUGGCCUACCAAGGCGGCGACGGGUAGCCGGCCUGAGAGGGUGGACGGCCACAUUGGGACUGAGAUACGGCCCAG